AACGAACGCUGGCGGCAUGCCUAACACAUGCAAGUCGAACGAGACCUUCGGGUCUAGUGGCGCACGGGUGCGUAACGCGUGGGAACCUGCCCUUAGGUUCGGAAUAACUCCCCGAAAGGGGUGCUAAUACCGGAUAAUGUCUUCGGACCAAAGAUUUAUCGCCUUUGGAUGGGCCCGCGUUGGAUUAGCUAGUUGGUAGGGUAAAAGCCUACAAAGGCGACGAUCCAUAGCUGGUCUGAGAGGAUGAUCAGCCACACUGGGACUGAGACACGGCCCAGACUCCUACGGGAGGCAGCAGUGGGGAAUACUGGACAAUGGGCGAAAGCCUGAUCCAGCAAUGCCGCGUGAGUGAUGAAGGCCUUAGGGUUGUAAAGCUCUUUUACCCGGGAUGAUAAUGACAGUACCGGGAGAAUAAGCACCGGCUAACUCCGUG
RNAcentral lists this ribosomal RNA (433 nucleotides) under uncultured bacterium. RNAcentral describes it as "partial 16S ribosomal RNA". It matches the Rfam family "Bacterial small subunit ribosomal RNA", at positions 29 to 507 of the family's 1533-position model. The record is from RNAcentral.